This is a non-coding RNA of Labrus bergylta (ballan wrasse), 143 nucleotides long. NCBI's taxonomy places the organism in Eukaryota, Metazoa, Chordata, Actinopteri, Labriformes, Labridae. The record is from RefSeq and is a predicted model, not a curated record.
GACACCAGGACCUGUGGGGAGUGCAGGAGAACCAGGGAGAGAAGGUCAGCCGGGGCACCCAGGCAUGCCAGGCCUGAAGGGCAGCAAGGGACAAAGAGGAAGUCAAGGUGAAAGAGGAGAGACGGGAAUGAAAGGUGAAAAAG